This 88-nucleotide transfer RNA is filed under the name Pseudomonas fulva. RNAcentral describes it as "tRNA-Ser". It matches the Rfam family "tRNA". From Rfam's summary of the family: Transfer RNA (tRNA) molecules are approximately 80 nucleotides in length. Their secondary structure includes four short double-helical elements and three loops (D, anti-codon, and T loops). The record is from RNAcentral. Lineage: Bacteria; Pseudomonadati; Pseudomonadota; Gammaproteobacteria; Pseudomonadales; Pseudomonadaceae.
GGAAGCGUGGCCGAGUGGUUUAAGGCAACGGUCUUGAAAACCGUCGAUGGGCGACUAUCCUAGAGUUCGAAUCUCUACGCUUCCGCCA